This is a long non-coding RNA of Camponotus floridanus (Florida carpenter ant), 365 nucleotides long. RefSeq lists it as uncharacterized. The record is from RefSeq and is a predicted model, not a curated record. The transcript has 3 exons. NCBI's taxonomy places the organism in Eukaryota, Metazoa, Arthropoda, Insecta, Hymenoptera, Formicidae.
UUACAACAUGCUGACCAUCAUGACCUGCCGCAAAAUGCGCAAUUCUAGGACUUUUACCAAAAACACUGUUUUUAGUAAACCAAAUUCUUUCCCUGCUGUAACCAUUGAAAUUUCAUCAUCGCAUCCCGGAUUCAAACGGCAAUUCAGAGGCAACUGUUACAGGAUUACUUAGCGUAUUUAUUGUACGCACUACAAAGCCUUCCUGUUAGGAGAAGAUGAGAACAAGUUGAUUAUAUAAAUAUCUCAAACAAUAAUAUGUAUAUAACUGCAAUAAUUACAUCUUUGCCUGCUGUUAUCAUUCCUAAAUUUUCGCCAUCAGAGAACAUGACAGAAGCUGACCAAUCUUUUCCUUCCAACACGGCAAU